This 261-nucleotide unclassified non-coding RNA is filed under the name Haplosporangium bisporale. Its description in RNAcentral is "partial internal transcribed spacer region". The stretch from base 1 to 46 matches the Rfam family "Eukaryotic small subunit ribosomal RNA", at positions 1786 to 1831 of the family's 1831-position model. Lineage: Eukaryota; Fungi; Mortierellomycota; Mortierellomycetes; Mortierellales; Mortierellaceae. The record is from RNAcentral.
AAGUCGUAACAAGGUUUCCGUAGGUGAACCUGCGGAAGGAUCAUUCAUAAUUGAGUGUUUUAUGGCACUCUUUAAAAAAUCCAUAUCCACCUUGUGUGCAACGUUUUUAGACACCCUGGCGCUGAUAUCUCUUUUAAGAGAAGGAAAGCCAGGAUGUUUGAUUAACUUAACUCAACUCCUUUAAAACAGUUUGUCUGAAAACCUAUUUCUGAAUAACAUAAUUCAAAAAUACAACUUUCAACAACGGAUCUCUUGGCUCUC